Aegilops tauschii subsp. strangulata is the source of this 1296-nucleotide long non-coding RNA. RefSeq lists it as uncharacterized. The record is from RefSeq and is a predicted model, not a curated record. Lineage: Eukaryota; Viridiplantae; Streptophyta; Magnoliopsida; Poales; Poaceae.
AAAUUUCUUAUGUAGACCACCACCGUGCCAUGGGUGGAGCCUAAACCUAAUUCCCCGUCUCCCGAUCUCCUCUCCACUCCCAGAUCCCAGCCGCCACCCCCAUCUUGCAUCUUUGUCUCCUCCACGACAGUGAGCCGCUGCCGUUGUUUGCCAGCCCGCCGCCGCUAGCUCCCUGCCCCAGCAGCCCACCGCGUCGAUUCGCUACUAACCCGGCCUUCAUGCCGAGGCAACGCCGUCCGCCCGUCCCAAGGAGCUCCCAAUCGUCCAACGCCUGAGCUACCCCCUAUGGCAUUCUUGGAGCCCAUGUCCGCUGCCAAGGGCACCGGCUCUGGUGACACCGACACCACAUCCACGGCCUCUUCUCCGGCGGCCUGUCUGCCUAUCCGACAUCCCGGAGCAAGAGGUGCCUGGACGGCUACCUGACUACGGACUCCCACGACCAGCAACGACUCUGACGGUGGCACCGCCGUGGAGCAGAAAAAGGACCCCCAAGCACGGACCUCCUUCCUCUCCAGACCGCAGCAGUGACUUGCCUUCUCUGCAGGAUCCCGUAAACUUCAGAGGUUUUGCAAAACUGGAUCUGAGCACUAUGGAGUCUGGAAUUUGGCUUAGUAUUUAUGAGAGGGAGAGCGUUCAAGCCAUCUUCCACCACCUCCUAAUCUAGAGGUGUCAGAUGUGAUUGUUGAGAAAGCUGCAGAUCAGGCUCUUCAAUGAAUAAACAAGGUGAUGGCUAUUUCUCAUGACACUUCCAUCAAGAGAGAUACAAUAAAUUUUAUGUAGAUAUAUCUCCUGCCCACCUAUAACUUCUUUGUGCAUGUUCUGGUUUCACACACGCACAUGCACACGCUUCUCUCUAUCUUAUGUACAUUCUAUUUUUGUUUCAUUGUCUGCUUGGUGCAGAAGGUUAUAUUGGCUCCGCGGGCAGUUUCAUGUAUUCGGAUGCUCUUCAACUUUACGCUCAUUUGCAUCCUUGUAGUCUCAUGGAUUUCUAUAAUAUUUGAAUAUGCAAUGCUGAUGGACAGGAAGAACAAUGCUCGUCAGUCCGAUAAUUUGGUGUUCACUCGCUUGUGGAGAUUGGCAUAGGAAACAAGUCUUUUUGGUUCAGCUCAAAACAUUAUGAUUUUGGACUAGUUAUCAACUACUCUUUAUUCUUGCCGUGACUUGGCCAUGUGAUAUGGUUGCAACUGAUUCUAUUGUUGUUUCUGUCCCAUUAAUGUAAAUGUGACUUACAGUUCCUAUGUUUUUUUUAUCUAUUUUGUGAUUGAAAUGCAAUUAGUUAAUUUUGUGAGCCUGAAA